RNAcentral lists this ribosomal RNA (433 nucleotides) under uncultured bacterium. RNAcentral describes it as "partial 16S ribosomal RNA". It matches the Rfam family "Bacterial small subunit ribosomal RNA", at positions 29 to 507 of the family's 1533-position model. The record is from RNAcentral.
AACGAACGCUGGCGGCAUGCCUAACACAUGCAAGUCGAACGAAACGUUCGGGCUUAGUGGCGCACGGGUGCGUAACGCGUGGGAACCUGCACUUAGGUUCGGAAUAACUCCCCGAAAGGGGUGCUAAUACCGCAUAAUGUCUUAGGACCAAAGAUUUAUUGCGUUUGGAUGGGCCCGGGUGGGAUUAGCUAAUUGGUAGGGUAAAAGCCUACCAAGGCGACGAUCCAUAGCCGGUCUGAGAGGAUGAUCAUCCACACUGGAACUGAGACACGGCCCAGACUGGUACGCAACGGAGCAGAGUGUAAUAUAAGAGGCUGGGCGAAGGCCUGAUACAGCAAUGCGGCGUAAGAGAUGAAGGCGUUAGGAUUGUAAAGCUCUUUUACCCGAGAUGAUAAUGACAGUACCGGGUAAAUAAGCUCCGGCUAACUCCGUG